RNAcentral lists this ribosomal RNA (722 nucleotides) under Brodoa oroarctica. RNAcentral's name for it is "eukaryotic LSU rRNA". It matches the Rfam family "Eukaryotic large subunit ribosomal RNA", at positions 135 to 905 of the family's 3401-position model. Lineage: Eukaryota; Fungi; Ascomycota; Lecanoromycetes; Lecanorales; Parmeliaceae. The record is from RNAcentral.
AAGCGGCAACAGAAAUUUGAAAUCCCUUUCUCCGAGGAGUGGGGUGAGACCACGGAAGUCCAAACAUGGCGUCAGGUGAGAAUCCCGUAUGUGACCGUGGAUCGAGCCCAUGUGAAGCCUCACGAGUCGAGUUGUUUGGGAAUGCAGCUCAAAAUGGGUGGUAAAUUUCAUCUCUAAAUACUGGCUGGAGACCGAUAGCGCACAAGGAGUGAUCGAAAGAUGAAAAGCACUUUGGAAAGAGAGUCAAACAGUACGUGAAAUUGUUGAAAGGGAAGCGCUUGCAACCAGACCUGUCCGUAGGUGAUCAGCCGCUGUUCUCAGUGGUGCACUCGCUCUGCGAUCAGGCCAGCAUCGGUUCGGGCGGUCGGAUAAAGGCCUUGGGAAUGUAGCUCCCGGGGAGUCUUAUAGCCCUCGGUGCAAUGCGGCCAGCCGGGACCGAGGACCGCGCUUCGGCUAGGAUGCUGGCGUAAUGGUUGUAAGCGACCCGUCUUGAAACACGGACCAAGGAGUCUAACAUCUAUGCGAGUGUUUGGGUGUCAAACCCAUGCGCGGAAUGAAAGUGAACGGAGGUGAGAACCCUUAAGGGCGCAUCAUCGACCGAUCCAGAUGUCUUCGGAUGGAUUUGAGUAUGAGCAUAGCUGUUGGGACCCGAAAGAUGGUGAACUAUGCCUGAAUAGGGUGAAGCCAGAAACUCUGGCUCGCAGCACGUGCAAAUCGAUCGU